Molecule: long non-coding RNA, 678 nt
Organism: Prionailurus viverrinus (fishing cat)
Lineage: Eukaryota; Metazoa; Chordata; Mammalia; Carnivora; Felidae
Exons: 3
Source: RefSeq, a predicted model, not a curated record
GGAGGCUCCAGCACCACAGAGAAGCCUUAUCCUGACCCAGAGGGAAGGUUGUGACACUGCUCUCUGGGUGAAAGGUCAUGACACGGUCCUUCCUGUCAUCAGCCUGUUUAAAAUGACAAGCCUGGAGUCUGUAGGAUCUGUAGUGAUGCUUCUAUUUCAUUCCUGGUGUGGUUCACUGUACCCUGGAAUGGCUGUGCACUCCGCAAACACUCAAGAAGAUUGUAUGCAGAUGUCUGCAGCUCCUUUUCUGGAAAGCUCCCUCCCAUCUGGAACUCUGCCCUGUGACUUCAUGUGGCCCCAGCCUCCCUGAACUCUGACCGCUCUCUCUUCAACUCAUGAGGCCACUGGACUCUGUUUCUGUUGCCUCUCCCGUGUCAAGGGUUUAAAAAAUGCCUGUAGGCAGGAAGCUGGGCAAUCAUAAGACUUCUCUCUUUUGUUUUUCUAUUAUUAGGGAUCGCAGCACUGUGCUAUUUAUUGUCCAGUGUCUGGGAACAGUUGUCUAAUCUACUUUGUGCCAUUUUCAAAUUGUUUGCAGUGAAAGGGGAAGUCUGGGCCUUCUUUUCCUUCAUGGUCAGAGGUAGAAGUCCUUAUUUUUUUUUUUUUAACUUCCUUUAUUUCAAUCAUUAUUUCCCCCUUGUCGUUUAUAUGUUUAUAGUUGUGCUUCUCCCUUUUUCUCUU